Molecule: ribosomal RNA, 165 nt
Filed under: Triticum aestivum (bread wheat)
Lineage: Eukaryota; Viridiplantae; Streptophyta; Magnoliopsida; Poales; Poaceae
Description: partial small subunit ribosomal RNA
Source: RNAcentral
AUGUUUGAGGCCCAGACUCUCAUGGACUUGCUCAUGCUUGUGUUCACGAGAGGCCGUCAACGUAGCGAAAAUGACUGGCGUGAGCUCUUCAUGAAAGCAGGGUUCACCGACUACAAAAUUAUCAAGAAACUCGGUGCACGAGGUGUCAUCGAGGUCUACAAGUGA